GGCGAACGGGUGACUAACACGUGAGAAAUCUGCCCUUGACUCUGCGAUAACUGCGGGAAACUGUAGCUAAUACCGGAUACUUUCCCUGGUGGGCAUCCACUGGGGAAGUAAGAAUUUCGGUCAAGGAUGAUCUCGCGGCCUAUCAGCUAGUUGGUGAGGUAACGGGUCACCAAGGCGACGACGGGUAGCGGGCCUGAGAGGGUGACCGGUCACACUGGGACUGAGACACGGCCCAGACUCCUACGGGAGUGCAGCAGAGGGGAAUAUUGCACAAUGGGCGCAAGCCUGAUGCAGCAACGCCGCGUGAGGCAUGACGGCCUUCGGGUUGUAAACCUCUUUUAGCAGGGAAGAAGCGAAAGUGACGGUACCUGCAGAAAAAGCACCGGCUAACUACGUGCCAGCAGACCGCGCUAAUACGUAGGGUGCAAGCGUUGUCCGGAAUUAUUGGGCGUAAAGAGCUCGUAGGCGGUUUGUCACGUCUGCUGUGAAAAUCCAAGGUUCAACCUUGGACUUGCAGUCGGGUACGGGCAGGCUAGAGUGCGGUCUGGGGGAGAUGGGAAUUCCUGGUGUAGCGGUGGAAUGCGCAGAUAUCAGGGACGCAACACCAAUGGGCGAAAGGCACAUCU
Molecule: ribosomal RNA, 626 nt
Filed under: uncultured bacterium
Lineage: Bacteria
Description: bacterial SSU rRNA
Rfam family: Bacterial small subunit ribosomal RNA
Source: RNAcentral